RNAcentral lists this ribosomal RNA (422 nucleotides) under uncultured Clostridium sp. RNAcentral describes it as "bacterial SSU rRNA". It matches the Rfam family "Bacterial small subunit ribosomal RNA", at positions 355 to 794 of the family's 1533-position model. The record is from RNAcentral. Lineage: Bacteria; Bacillati; Bacillota; Clostridia; Eubacteriales; Clostridiaceae.
UGGGGGAUAUUGCACAAUGGGCGAAAGCCUGAUGCAGCGACGCCGCGUGAGGGAAGACGGUUUUCGGAUUGUAAACCUCUGUCUUCGGGGACGAAAAUGACGGUACCUGAGUAAGAAGCCCCGGCUAACUACGUGCCAGCAGCCGCGGUAAUACGUAGGGGGCAAGCGUUAUCCGGAUUUACUGGGUGUAAAGGGAGCGUAGACGGCAGGGCAAGUCUGAAGUGAAAGGCGGGGGCUCAACCCCCGGACUGCUUUGGAAACUGUCCGGCUGGAGUGCAGGAGAGGUAAGUGGAAUUCCUAGUGUAGCGGUGAAAUGCGUAGAUAUUAGGAGGAACACCAGUGGCGAAGGCGGCUUACUGGACUGUAACUGACGUUGAGGCUCGAAAGCGUGGGGAGCAAACAGGAUUAGAUACCCUGGUAGU